This 418-nucleotide unclassified non-coding RNA is filed under the name Hevea brasiliensis (rubber tree). The record is from RNAcentral. Lineage: Eukaryota; Viridiplantae; Streptophyta; Magnoliopsida; Malpighiales; Euphorbiaceae.
AUCACAGAAAAAAACGGAAACUUGUAACGACGUCAACCUCAGUGGCUUCUAGGAAAGUUCAAAGACAGAAGAUGGAGGAUCCAAAAGAACUUGGUCGGAAGCUGGACGUGGUCAAAACAAUGGGAAGUAGGGAGGCAAAAGAACAUAUGUCAAUUGAAGUCAUUGUUGAUGCACUUCAAGCUAUACCAGAUAUGGACGACGAACUCUUCUUGGAAGCCUGUCAACUUCUAGAAAAUGAGAAAAAGGCUAAGGUGUUUGUGGGAAUGGAUGUAAAUCAGCGGAGGAAAUGGUUAUUUAGAAAGCUCCAUAGAUAACAUCUACCUGACUUCGUUAUUGUGAUAUAUUAUCAUUGUACAGUUCAAAAUUUUUUGAUAUAAACUACAUUGCAUUGACUUUUGGCCUAUUUUACACACAAAAU